CCAGACUCCUACGGGAGGCAGCAGUGGGGAAUAUUGCACAAUGGGGGAAACCCUGAUGCAGCGACGCCGCGUGAGUGAAGAAGUAUCUCGGUAUGUAAAGCUCUAUCAGCAGGGAAGAAAAUGACGGUACCUGACUAAGAAGCCCCGGCUAACUACGUGCCAGCAGCCGCGGUAAUACGUAGGGGGCAAGCGUUAUCCGGAUUUACUGGGUGUAAAGGGAGCGUAGACGGCGCUGCAAGUCCGGAGUGAAAGCCCAUGGCUUAACCAUGGUACUGCUCUGGAAACUGUGGAGCUUGAGUGCGGGAGGGGCAGGCGGAAUUCCUAGUGUAGCGGUGAAAUGCGUAGAUAAUAGGAGGAACACCGGCGGCGAAGGCGG
RNAcentral lists this ribosomal RNA (376 nucleotides) under uncultured bacterium. Its description in RNAcentral is "bacterial SSU rRNA". It matches the Rfam family "Bacterial small subunit ribosomal RNA", at positions 331 to 724 of the family's 1533-position model. The record is from RNAcentral.